Molecule: ribosomal RNA, 842 nt
Filed under: uncultured organism
Description: bacterial SSU rRNA
Rfam family: Bacterial small subunit ribosomal RNA
Source: RNAcentral
ACCCGGAGAGGUCGUUCAAUACUGCGUGUCUAGAGGGUGUCAGAGGGGAGUGGAAUUUCCGGAGUAGCGGUAAAAUGCGCAGAGAUCGGAAAGAACACCAAUGGCGAAGGCAGCUCCCUGGGGCAACCCUGACGCUAAGAGACGAAAGCUAGGGGAGCGAACAGGAUUAGAGACCCUGGUAGUCCUAGCCCUAAACGAUGGAUGCUGGAUGUGGGGCCAUAGCGCUCCGUGUCGAAGCGAACGCGUUAAGCAUCCCGCCUGGGGACUACGGCCGCAAGGUUAAAACUCAAACGAAUUGACGGGACCCCGCACAAGCAGCGGAGCGUGUGGUUUAAUUCGAUGCUACACGAAGAACCUUACCUGGGUUUGACAUCUAGGUGGUAGUGAAGCGAAAGCGGAGCGACCCUUCGGGGAGCCUAGACAGGUGCUGCAUGGCUGUCGUCAGCUCGUGCCGUGAGGUGUCGGGUUAAGUCCCGUAACGAGCGCAACCCUUGCCCUCCGUUAUACGUGUCAGAGGGGACUGCCGGCGGUAAGCCGGAGGAAGGUGGGGAUGACGUCAAGUCAGCAUGGCCUUUAUAUCCAGGGCUACACACACGCUACAAUGGCCAGUACAAAGGGCAGCGAAGCCGCGAGGUGGAGCGAAUCCCAGCAAAGCUGGUCGUAGUUCGGAUUGCAGGCUGCAACCCGCCUGCAUGAAGCUGGAGUUGCUAGUAACCGCGCGUCAGCCAUAGUGCGGUGAAUACGUUCCCGGGGUUUGUACACACCGCCCGUCACGUCAUGGGAGUCGAUAACGCCUGAAGCCGGUGGCCUAGCUCGGAAGAGAGGGCGCUGUCUAAGGCGGG